This 429-nucleotide ribosomal RNA is filed under the name Chloroflexota bacterium. RNAcentral's name for it is "Chloroflexi bacterium partial 16S ribosomal RNA". It matches the Rfam family "Bacterial small subunit ribosomal RNA", at positions 355 to 776 of the family's 1533-position model. The record is from RNAcentral. Lineage: Bacteria; Bacillati; Chloroflexota.
UGGGGAAUAUUGCACAAUGGGCGCAAGCCUGAUGCAGCCAUGCCGCGUGUAUGAAGAAGGCCUUCGGGUUGUAAAGUACUUUCAGUCGGGAGGAAGGUGGUAAGGUUAAUAACCUUGGCAAUUGACGUUACCGACAGAAGAAGCACCGGUUAACUCCGUGCUAGCAGCCGCGGUAAUACGGAGGGUGCAAGGGUUAAUCGGAAUUACUGGGCGUAAAGCGCACGCAGGCGGUUGAUUGAGUCAGAUGUGAAAUCCCCGGGCUUAACCCGGGAAUUGCAUCUGAUACUGGUCAGCUAGAGUCUUGUAGAGGGGGGUAGAAUUCCAUGUGUAGCGGUGAAAUGCGUAGAGAUGUGGAGGAAUACCGGUGGCGAAGGCGGCCCCCUGGACAAAGACUGACGCUCAGGUGCGAAAGCGUGGGGAGCAAACAGG